Heterocephalus glaber (naked mole-rat) is the source of this 1629-nucleotide long non-coding RNA. NCBI's taxonomy places the organism in Eukaryota, Metazoa, Chordata, Mammalia, Rodentia, Bathyergidae. The record is from Ensembl.
GUAAUCUUCACUGAGACAAACACUCCAUGGUUCCACUGAGAUGAAGUCUAGAUGGGGCCGGGGAUUUAGCUCAGUGGUUUCGCCGCCUGCUGUGCAAGCGGAAGGACCGGAGUUCGAUUUCCGGUACCAAAAAAAAAAAAAAGAGAGAGAGAGAUGAGGUCUAGAGGGCGGUGGUCACAUUCAGUAACAGAGGAGGCUGGUGGCUGCCAGGAGCUUGAGUGAAUGGGUAGAGAGUUCAGUUUGAAAAGAAGUUCUGGAAGUAAACAAUGGCAGUGUUUGCACAACAAUGCAAAUGCUGCACAAAUGUACACUUAAAAACUGCUAAAAUGGUCAUUUUCUUUUUUUGUGUGGAGACAGGCUCUCACUAUAUAGUGCAGGUUGGAUUUGAACUCUUUUUUUUCUGGUACCAGGGAUUGAACUCAGGACCCUGCACUUUCAAGGCAGGUGAGGCACCACUGAGCUAAAUCCCUGGCCCUUGGACUUGAAUUCUUGAUCCUCCUUCCUCAGCCUUCCGAGUGCUGGAAUUUCAGGUAUCGAACUCGAUCCUUGCGCUUGUGCAGCAGGUGACAAAACCACUGAGCUAAAUCCCCGGCCCUUUACAAUUUUUUGAAAGCAGAAAAUUUGUUGACAACAUAGAGAAGAUGAAACUGCUAUAUAUUGCUGGUGAGAAUGUAAAAAAAUAGCGAUCCUUGUUGGAAAGUGGGGAGGUUCUUCAAACAAUUAAACACAAAGUGUCUUAGUUACUUUUCUCCUUGCUGAAACAAAAUACCCGACGCCCAGAGUUAAAGGGGAAAAGGUUUAUUUAGCUCACAGCUUGUAGAGGCCUCAGUCCACAAUCGGCUGGCUCCAAGGCAGGGCAGCAUGGCAGAGGGGGGAUUGCAGAGGAGAAACAGUUCAUGGACAGCAGAAGGUAGCAAAGAAAAGCAAUUGAGGGGCCUUAGCAGCUUUUUUCUGCCCCUUUUAUAGUCUAUCUAGGCUACCAGGAUUAGGGUGGUACCAAACCAAUCAGUGGACUGAUUUAGAAAUCACUCAUACUUAACCCUAGCACCCUUAAUCCCAGCAUUGCACCAUGAGUCACUCACACACUCUAGAUUCAGCCACCCAUGAAAAAGCCCCACCUAUGAUGCAUCAGGCUUUGAGGGGACAGCUAGACACAAGCCAUGACACAAGGUUUCUAUACGACCCAGCAAUUCCACUUCUAGAUAAAUGGCUAAAAGAGUUUUGAAACAAAACUUGUACGUGAAUAUUCACACCGCCCUUAUUCACAAUAGCCAAAAAGCAGAAGAACUCAAAUGAAUGGAUGGAUGGAUAAAAUGGGAUCUGUUCACACAAUGGACUAUUAUUCAGCUAUAAAGAGGAACGGAGCACUGCUAGCUGCUAUAAUAGGGAUGAACCUUGAAAACAUUAUGAAAAGGAAAGAAACCAGUCACAAAAGGCCGUAUCAUGUAUGGUUGCAUUUAGAUGAAAUGUCUGAAAUAGGCAAUGCAUAGAGACAGGAAGCAGAUUAGUGGUCACCAGAGGGUAGGGGGGAUUGGAAUGUGGACUGACUGCUUAGGAAGUAAAAGGUUUCUGUUUCCAGUGGUUUAAAGUUCUGGAAGCAGGCAGUGUGAUGAUUACACAACACAGUGA